AUUGAACGCUGGCGGCAGGCCUAACACAUGCAAGUCGAGCGAGCGGCGGACGGGUGAGUAAUGUAUGGGGACUGCCCGAUAGAGGGGGAUAACUACUGGAAACGGUGGCUAAUACCGCAUACUAUCGGAUAACCCAUAUGGGAUUAGCUAGUUGGUGGGGUAAAGGCUCACCUAGGCGACGAUCCCUAGCUGGUCUGAGAGGAUGAUCAGCCACAGUGGGACUUGGACACGGCCCAGACUCCAAGGGAGGGAGCAGUGGGGAAUAUUGCACAAUGGGCGCAAGCGUGAUGCAGCGAUGCCGCGUGGGGGAUGAAGGCUUUCGGGUUGUAAACCUCUGUCGCUAUCGAACGGGUAGGUGGAGAAGAAGCGCCGGCUAACUACGUGCCAGCAGCCGCGGUAAUAC
This 403-nucleotide ribosomal RNA is filed under the name uncultured bacterium. RNAcentral's name for it is "partial 16S ribosomal RNA". It matches the Rfam family "Bacterial small subunit ribosomal RNA", at positions 29 to 526 of the family's 1533-position model. The record is from RNAcentral.